CUGACAGUUUGUGCAGAAAGUCUUUGGUUAUGCAAACCGAUUGUUGCAGCAGCUGUCCAGGUGGCUGGUCUCUGAUGAUCUUGGAGGUAAAGAUUCUGAAUGUGGAUGCCCUGGGCUGGUGUGUUUACACGUGGUCUGCGGUUGUGAGGCGUUGGAUGUACUGGCAAAUUUUCUGAAACGCCUUUGGAGACGGCUUAUGGUAGAGAAAUGAACAUUCAAUUCACGGACAACAGUUCUGGUGGAAAUUCCUGCAUUUAGCAUGCCAAUUUCACACUCUCUCAAAACUUGCGACUUCUGUGGCAUUGUGCUAUGUGAUAAAGCUGCACAUUUUAUAGUGGCCUUUUAUUGUAGCCAGCCUAAGGCACACUUGUGCAAUUGUCAUGCUGUCUAAUCAGUAUCCUGAUAUGCCACACCAGUGAGGUGGAUGGAUUAUCUCGGCAGAGGAGAAGUGCUCACUAACC
Molecule: non-coding RNA, 461 nt
Organism: Pelobates cultripes (western spadefoot toad)
Lineage: Eukaryota; Metazoa; Chordata; Amphibia; Anura; Pelobatidae
Source: the annotation of a GenBank genome assembly